CAGACAGGCUGAGCAUGUUUCCUGAGCUGCUGGCUGAAACUACAGUCACACAAAAGGGUUAACACACCACUGACUUGGGGUCAGAAGUUGGCUUCUAAUUCACUUAAGCCUAUAGGUUGUGUUUUUUAUGCGGGCUUUUGGAAAACACUGCUGUAAAUUAUGGUGUUUGUACUCUUUCAGUAAAACACAAGCUGUGUUUUGUCUUCACAUUGGCUGAAUGAGAUUUU
Molecule: long non-coding RNA, 227 nt
Organism: Rhinichthys klamathensis goyatoka
Lineage: Eukaryota; Metazoa; Chordata; Actinopteri; Cypriniformes; Leuciscidae
Exons: 2
Source: RefSeq, a predicted model, not a curated record